This 1096-nucleotide unclassified non-coding RNA is filed under the name Hevea brasiliensis (rubber tree). The record is from RNAcentral. Lineage: Eukaryota; Viridiplantae; Streptophyta; Magnoliopsida; Malpighiales; Euphorbiaceae.
AGGUACAAAACAAGUUAAAAAAAUAUUGAAUAUUUCAAGAAUCCAAUUGUUGUAGAUCACAAUUUUAAUUGUGGAUGGCCCCUUUUGGAUAGAUUACUUCAACUCUUUCGGCCUAAAAUGACGUAUCCAAGCACCCGUAUCUAAAUUUAGAUCAAUAUCCCCGUAUUUUCUAUUCAGAAAGUUCACAAGUAUGACAUACGGAUAUGUAUCCAUUUUCAACACCUGUACCUGAGUCGAGUAACAUAGCUAUUAACUAAGGCAGAUUUCAUUAUAGAUUAACAAUAACAAUAUAACACUUAUAAGAACAAAUAUGUAUUAAUAAUAAAAUUAUUCUUUUGAAUAUGAUGGUCCUGGUGCCCAUGGUGGUUAAGUUGUUGGAAAUGAGUUGCAGCAACAGUAGUAGCAAUGAAGCUGGCGGUGUUUGUAGGGGUGGGGAAGUGAUUGUGAUGUGUAUGGUGGUGAGCUAAUGUUGAUGAUAGCGCUGAUGGCAAAGGAGCAAUGGUAACAGGUUUUUAAGUAUCGGAAGAGGUCACAGAACUGGACUGAAUUAGGCAUCAUUUAAGAAAGGUCAUCAUCCAGUGAUAAUGUUGAACAAAGCCUUGUUUUUUCAAGCGGAAAUUUCAAUUCACUUGACAAUAAAUGUAUUAAUCUCACAGAUGUUCCAAAAGUCCCAACAUCCAUGCAGGAAUCUUCACAUUAUACUUGUACAUGACAGUUAAACAAACACAUAGGAGCAAUAUUCAACUUUAUUGAAUUCGGGUAUAAAGCCAGUAAUGGUAAGGAUGACAAAUAUAUAAAGAGAAUACAUAUAGCAAAGAGUGGCAAAUAUGUGAUAGAAGGAAUGACAAAUGCAUAUGGCACAGAGGAUUUGUUCAUGUUCCUUCCUCUUCUUCAAUUUGAUUCUAGUUCCCAUCGGAAUGAAAAUGGACCACUAAUCAUCUUUGUGAAUGACAAGCCCAACCUAGUGGCAAUGUUUCCUCUUGAUAACAAGAUUACCAUCCCAACAUCAGAACAGAUGGAAAGGCAAUAUCCUUCACAGAUUUGCAAUGGCAUCAAGGUUUUUAAGCCCAGUCACAUUGAAGGCAUGGGAACUCCA